CCGCAUGCUAUCGCACCACAUCUUCACUUUGGACUUGUAAAGUUCAAUAAGAUGCUUGCAUAGUAAGAUCAUACAAAAUAAUAGCUCUGCCUCUUUGCAAGUAAUAUAUUGAACAAAUUUAAUAAUUGAUUUCACCUGAUUAUAAUUGUUAUUGAAUACUCCAACAAUUAGGGUUCUAAUGGUCGUAUCCAUGGUGGCCAUGUCCAUAUCAAUCUCUCUCUCUCGAUCCCCAUACCGAUAGCAAAUAGAAUCACAGAAAGUACUACCGACUAGAUCUACACCUAGAUGAUUCUAGGAAGCUAACAAUGGUAUGAGAGCAACCUAGGGUAGUGGAUCUGCUCGGGUAGAAAAGAAAAAGAAGAAAAUCAAAAGAAAAGGAAAACCCUAACCCUAACUCCUUACCCGAAAGUGAAGAGGAAUCGCCUGCCGCCGGUCGUUGUCGUCAUGGGGUCGCCUGCAGGGAAAGGGCGCUGCCGAUGAGCCACUUGACGGCGACGCGCGCACCAUCGGGUGCACGUGCGUGCCGUUAAGGGGGCCAAGGACGGCGCCGCCAUCAAAGGAAAAGGAGGGGAGGAAGGGUGGAGGGAC
This 588-nucleotide long non-coding RNA is filed under the name Brachypodium distachyon (stiff brome). RNAcentral's name for it is "long non-coding RNA (BDIS_LNC002950)". The record is from RNAcentral. Lineage: Eukaryota; Viridiplantae; Streptophyta; Magnoliopsida; Poales; Poaceae.